CUACGGGGGGCUGCAGCAGGGAAUAUUGCACAAUGGACGGAAGUCUGAUGCAGCGACGCCGCGUGGAUGAUGAAGGCCCUCGGGUUGUAAAAUCCUUUUCAGGGGGACGAGGAAGGACGGUACCCUUGGAAUAAGCGUCGGCUAACUACGUGCCAGCAGCCGCGGUAAGACGUAGGACGCAAGCGUUAUCCGGAUUUACUGGGCGUAAAGCGUCUGUAGGCGGAAUGGUAAGUUGGACGUGAAAGCUCCGGGCUCAACUCGGAGAGGUCGUUCAAUACUGCCAAACUAGAGGGCAUCAGAGGAGCGUGGAAUGUCCGGUGUAGCGGUAAAAUGCGCAGAUAUCGGAAGGAACACCAAUGGCGAAGGCAGCGCUCUGGGAUGAACCUGACGCUAAGAGACGAAAGCUAGGGGAGCGAACAGGAUUAGAUACCCCGGUAGUC
Molecule: ribosomal RNA, 440 nt
Filed under: uncultured bacterium
Lineage: Bacteria
Description: partial 16S ribosomal RNA
Rfam family: Bacterial small subunit ribosomal RNA
Source: RNAcentral